GCUGUGGACAGAUCCAGACAAAGACAGGCUUAUUUACGGGGUACCCUUCAUGCAUACAUGCCACUGGGAGCUGCCCAGUACCACGUACUGGGGGUGGACAAUGAGAGCAAUAUGGCAGACAUUCAGUUCCCUCUCCCAUGCUUGGAUUUUUAACUACUACGUGUGAAUCUGGCUGUUCUGCAGUCGCCACCGUGCAUUUGCAGAAACAUGUUUCGAAAAUGUCCUGCCGGCCUAGUUUCACCACAAGCAAAUUUUCACACAAAAAGGAACGACUUAUUUAUUGUUGGAAACAAAAAAGUGCAGAUGCAAAUCUAAAUACAGAAAGCAUGAUCAAUACUGUCAAAAAUACAGAUGCUCCACUUUUCUUUCCCACAUCUUCGGAAAUCCUUUUUAUUGUGUCUCUUGGCCAAGUUUUGCAGCAGGAUAGAUAAUGAAAUAAUCCAAAAUAAAGUCUUUGCCGUUGCAUUGUUAUUCAUACUGAAACAGGUUUCAUUGCCACAAUUGUGGCUUUCCAGGGUAGAAUGUGGGCCCCCGCACUGACAUAUUACAAAACAGGAAGGGACACUUUUUUUGCAGAAAUAAGCAGCUGUGGUGGUGCAUUAAAAGAAAGGCACAUCUCAACAGCAGUUCAUCUACUUAGACAAGCAAGACUGGUCUAAGUAGGCAAAUUACAUAUUAGAGACACAGCAUUGUAGGCCAGACAAUCUGAGCCUAUCCCAAACAUACAAUGAAUCACCAGCAGCUCAGCUUUUAUGUUCUUACUUUCUUAUGAUUGUGAAAGAAAUCUGGUAUUUUCCAGUGAAAACGGAUGAAAUGUAAACGCUGCAUUAAUCAUAGCAGAGGCAGCGCAACGUACCCGAGGCAGGUCUUGAGGAAGUCUCUGCGCUUGCUUUCAUCAGUGAUGGUCAGGUGAUGUUUAUACUGCAGCAGCUACACACCACGAGACACACACACACACCUACCACCCAUCAUACACCACCUACCAACACUUCUCACAUACUUUUAAUAUAAAGUAUAAAAGAAAAAAAAAAUCAUCCAAUAGUACAGGAUGAUGUGACUAUGGGUUUGAAGGCAACAGUAAAUAUAGAGUAGAGGAGGUAUUACAAUAUUAAUACUUGAGGUAGCAUAAAGGUUGACCGUAUUAUAGUCGUGACAGCAGAGGUAGUAUAACAGAAGUGAAAUUAGAAGUUGUAUAAUAAGAUAGUGUUACAGUACAUACCGCCUCAUCCUCAGUCCGGCCCAAAG
Long non-coding RNA from Gadus macrocephalus (Pacific cod), 1245 nucleotides. RefSeq lists it as uncharacterized. The transcript is spliced from 2 exons. The record is from RefSeq and is a predicted model, not a curated record. NCBI's taxonomy places the organism in Eukaryota, Metazoa, Chordata, Actinopteri, Gadiformes, Gadidae.